RNAcentral lists this ribosomal RNA (1228 nucleotides) under Aurantiochytrium limacinum. RNAcentral's name for it is "partial Bacterial large subunit ribosomal RNA". It matches the Rfam family "Bacterial large subunit ribosomal RNA", at positions 14 to 1422 of the family's 2925-position model. Lineage: Eukaryota; Bigyra; Thraustochytrida; Thraustochytriidae. The record is from RNAcentral.
UUAUGGCAUUUGAAGGAUCUCUAGGUAAUGUUAAUAUAGAGGCGUUUUUAUAUGCGAUAAGCUGACCUAUUUCGGUUAGAUUCCUCUAGGAAAACCAUUAAUUUAUUUUAUUUAUAACCUUGCGAAUUGAAACAUCUUAGUAGCAAGUUAAAAAAUUAAACAAGGAGUUGAAAGUAGUGGCGAGCGAAAUCAAUUUAAGCUUAAGAAUUUUUUGCAAAAAAUUUUAAAACCAUAGAAGGUAUUUAAGUCCUGUAUUUUGUAAAAAUUUCUUAUACAUUAGUAAGUUGAGACAUGUUAUCUUUACUGAAAAUAGGAGAACCAUCUUCUAAAGCUUAACUUAACAUUAACCGAUAGCGCACAAGUACUGUAAAGGAAAGAGUGAAAUCAAACUGCUUUUUAUGCUAGAGUAGUUUAAAGCUAUUAUAGCGUGCUUUUUGUAUUACGAACUGAAGAGUUAAUAAAAGUAGCCUAGCUUAAGUGGAGACAUGUAGGCGUACGUGAAAGCAAAAAUUCAAUAUUAUGUUACUUUUAUUAUACCCGAAACCAAGUGAUCUAUUUAUGAACUAGCGGAUGUAUAUUUGCAUUCGGCUGAACCCGUAUCUGUUGCAAAAGAUUGGGAUGAUUUGUGAAUAGGAGUGAAAGGCUAAUCAAACUUGGAAAUAGCUGGUUCUUUGCGAAAUCUAUUUAGGUAGAGUGUUAAAUACUAAAAAAGGGGGUAGAGCUCUGUUUAGGGAAGGGGGUGUCACUUACUAACUCUUUGCAAACUACGAAUACCUUUUUUAAGAAUAUUUAAUAAACAAACAAUAGGCGAUAAGGUCUUUUGUUGAGAGGGAAACAGCCCAGAUUUAUCGCUAAGGCCUUUAAUGUUUUUUAAGUGCAAAAAGAGUUUAUAUCCAAUGACAGUUAAUAUGUAGGCUUGGAAGCAGCCAUCAUUGAAAGAAAGCGUAGUAGCUCAUUAACUAAGGGUAUAGGUUCUGAAAAUGUAGGAGACUAAAAAAACAGCCGAAGCGGAAACAGAGCUUUUAAGCUCUGGGUAGCAAAGCUUUUUGUAUAAGUUAGCAUACGUUGUAAAAUGUAUGUGUUUAUCAAUUUGAUUAUUUCAGUAUGAGUAACGGAAAACACUCUGUGAAUGAGUGUCGUCUGAAUCCUCCAGGUUUCCUAAACAAAUGUUGUUCAGUUUAGGGUUAUUCGGUCCCUAAUUAAUUAGCUGAAAAGUUAUUAUGAUGGG